GACGAACGCUGGCGGCGUGCUUAACACAUGCAAGUCGAACGGUAAGGCCCUUCGGGGUACACGAGUGGCGAACGGGUGAGUAACACGUGGGUGAUCUGCCCUGCACUUCGGGAUAAGCCUGGGAAACUGGGUCUAAUAACGGAUAGGACCACUGCCCGACUGGGUGGUGGUGGAAAGCUUUUGCGGUGUUGGAUGGGCCCUCGGCCUAUCAGCUUGUUGGUGGGGUGAUGGCCUACCAAGGCGACGACGGGUAGCCGGCCUGAGAGGGUGACCGGCCACACUGGGACUGAGAUACGGCCCAGACUCCUACGGGAGGCAGCAGUGGGGAAUAUUGCACAAUGGGCGCAAGCCUGAUGCAGCGACGCCGCGUGAGGGAUGACGGCCUUCGGGUUGUAAACCUCUUUCAGCACCGACGAAGCGCAAGUGACGGUAGGUGCAGAAGAAGGACCGGCCAACUACGUGCCAGCCGCCGCCGUAA
This 478-nucleotide ribosomal RNA is filed under the name uncultured bacterium. RNAcentral's name for it is "partial 16S ribosomal RNA". It matches the Rfam family "Bacterial small subunit ribosomal RNA", at positions 28 to 523 of the family's 1533-position model. The record is from RNAcentral.